GGCCAUGGCUCAGUGGUAGAGCAUCUACUUGACAUGCAAAAGGUUUGCAGGUUCAAUCCUGGCCAUAUCCA
This 71-nucleotide transfer RNA is filed under the name Sphaerodactylus townsendi. RNAcentral's name for it is "tRNA-Val". The record is from RNAcentral. Lineage: Eukaryota; Metazoa; Chordata; Lepidosauria; Squamata; Sphaerodactylidae.